This 467-nucleotide ribosomal RNA is filed under the name uncultured bacterium. RNAcentral's name for it is "partial 16S ribosomal RNA". It matches the Rfam family "Bacterial small subunit ribosomal RNA", at positions 28 to 506 of the family's 1533-position model. The record is from RNAcentral.
GACGAACGCUGGCGGCGUGCUUAACACAUGCAAGUCGAACGGAAAGGCCCUGCUUUUGUGGGGUGCUCGAGUGGCGAACGGGUGAGUAACACGUGAGUAACCUGCCCUUGACUUUGGGAUAACUUCAGGAAACUGGGGCUAAUACCGGAUAGGAGCUCCUGCUGCAUGGUGGGGGUUGGAAAGUUUCGGCGGUUGGGGAUGGACUCGCGGCUUAUCAGCUUGUUGGUGGGGUAGUGGCUUACCAAGGCUUUGACGGGUAGCCGGCCUGAGAGGGUGACCGGCCACAUGGGGACUGAGAUCCGGCCCAGACUCCUACGGGAGGCAGCAGUGGGGAAUAUGGCACAAUGGGCGGAAGCCUGAUGAAGCAACGCCGCGUGCGGGAGGACGGCCUUCGGGUUGUAAACCGCUUUCGCCUGUGACGAAGCGUGAGUGACGGGAAUGGGUAAAGAAGCACCGGCUAACUACGG